RNAcentral lists this ribosomal RNA (679 nucleotides) under uncultured bacterium. RNAcentral's name for it is "bacterial SSU rRNA". It matches the Rfam family "Bacterial small subunit ribosomal RNA", at positions 8 to 732 of the family's 1533-position model. The record is from RNAcentral.
AGGGUUUGAUCAUGGCUCAGAACGUACGCUGGCGGCACGCCUUAUACAUGCAAGUCGAACGAAGUAGCAAUACUUAGUGGCAGACGGGUGAGUAACAUGUGGGAAUCUUCCCUUUGGUGAGGAAUAACACGAGGAAACUUGUGCUAAUACCUCAUAAGUCUUUACGGAGAAAGCUUUAUGCGCCAAUGGAUGAGCCCGCACUUGAUUAGUUUGUUGGUAGGGUAAUGGCCUACCAAGACUGUGAUCAAUAGCUGAUCUGAGAGGAUGAUCAGCCACAUUGGGACUGAGACACGGCCCAAACUCCUACGGGAGGCAGCAGUAGGGAAUAUUGCACAAUGGAGGAAACUCUGAUGCAGCGAUGCCGCGUGAGUGAAGAAGGCCUUUGGGUUGUAAAGCUCUUUCGUCGGGGAAGAAAAUGACUGUACCCGAAUAAGAAGGUCCGGCUAACUUCGUGCCAGCAGCCGCGGUAAUACGAAGGGACCUAGCGUAGUUCGGAAUUACUGGGCUUAAAGAGUUCGUAGGUGGUUAAAAUAGUUGGUGGUGAAAUCCCAGAGCUUAACUCUGGAACUGCCAUCAAAACUUUUUAGCUAGAGUUUGAUAGAGGAAAGCAGAAUUUCUAGUGUAGAGGUGAAAUUCGUAGAUAUUAGAAAGAAUACCGAUUGCGAAGGCAGCUUUCUGG